GCUGUUGCUGGCCCCAUUGGGUAUGUGCACGCUUGUCAUCUUUAUCAUUUCUCCAACCUGUGCACAUAAUGUAGACCUGAGUUUUUUGAAUUCUAUUCGAGUUGGGGAUUGCUGCGCUUUUGUAUAAAAGUCGGCUUUCCCUUGUAUUUUUCAGGUCUAUGUCGUUUAUCUUUCACAACCAUGUUUAGAAUGUUGAAUCAGGUCCUUGUACCUAUAUAAUAAAAGUUAAUACAACUUUCAGCAACGGAUCUCUUGGCUCUCGCAUCGAUGAAGAACGCAGCGAAAUGCGAUAAGUAAUGUGAAUUGCAGAAUUCAGUGAAUCAUCGAAUCUUUGAACGCAUCUUGCGSUCCUUGGUAUUCCGAGGAGCAUGCCUGUUUGAGUGUCAUUUGACUUAUCAACCACAUCAUCUUUUUUUGAAAAUGUGGCUUGGAUGGGGGGGGAAUGUAUUUUCUUUUGCAGGUUUCAACAAAGGCCGGCUCCCCUGAAAGGCUUUAGGGGUAUCUGAGCUGCUAUUGGUGUGAUAAAUUAUCUAUGCCUUUGGUUAUGCUGGUCAGCGCUGCUUAUAACGACCCAAUCAUUUGACAAAUUUGACCUCAAAUCAGGUAGAACUACCCGCUGA
This 620-nucleotide ribosomal RNA is filed under the name Inocybe geophylla. RNAcentral's name for it is "eukaryotic LSU rRNA". The stretch from base 233 to 386 matches the Rfam family "5.8S ribosomal RNA". Lineage: Eukaryota; Fungi; Basidiomycota; Agaricomycetes; Agaricales; Inocybaceae. The record is from RNAcentral.